Molecule: ribosomal RNA, 403 nt
Filed under: uncultured bacterium
Lineage: Bacteria
Description: partial 16S ribosomal RNA
Rfam family: Bacterial small subunit ribosomal RNA
Source: RNAcentral
GACGAACGCUGGCGGCGUGCCUAAUACAUGCAAGUCGAACGCAGUGGGUACGGGUGAGUAAAACGUGGGUAACCUCCCAUCAGAGGGGAUAACACUUGGAAACAGGUGCUAAACCGAUAGUGGUGGCUGGACCCUCGGUGCAUUAGCUAGUUGGUGGGGUAACGGCUCACCAAGGCCCCGAUGCCUCGCCGACCUGAGAGGGUGAUCGGCCAAACGGGGACUGAGAAACGGCCCAGACGCCUACGGGAGGCAGCAGUAGGGAAUCUUCGGCAAUGGACGAAAGUCUGACCGAGCAACGCCGCGUGAGUGAAGAAGGUUUUCGGAUCGUAAAACUCUGUUGUUAGAGAAGCGGUAUCUACCCAGAAAGCCACGGCUAACUACGUGACAGCAGCCGCGGUAAUUC